RNAcentral lists this ribosomal RNA (2129 nucleotides) under Salmonella enterica subsp. enterica serovar Poona. RNAcentral describes it as "partial 23S ribosomal RNA". It matches the Rfam family "Bacterial large subunit ribosomal RNA", at positions 691 to 2802 of the family's 2925-position model. Lineage: Bacteria; Pseudomonadati; Pseudomonadota; Gammaproteobacteria; Enterobacterales; Enterobacteriaceae. The record is from RNAcentral.
GGCGUUAAGUUGCAGGGUAUAGACCCGAAACCCGGUGAUCUAGCCAUGGGCAGGUUGAAGGUUGGGUAACACUAACUGGAGGACCGAACCGACUAAUGUUGAAAAAUUAGCGGAUGACCUGUGGCUGGGGGUGAAAGGCCAAUCAAACCGGGAGAUAGCUGGUUCUCCCCGAAAGCUAUUUAGGUAGCGCCUCGUGAAUUCAUCUCCGGGGGUAGAGCACUGUUUCGGCUAGGGGGCCAUCCCGGCUUACCAACCCGAUGCAAACUGCGAAUACCGGAGAAUGUUAUCACGGGAGACACACGGCGGGUGCUAACGUCCGUCGUGAAGAGGGAAACAACCCAGACCGCCAGCUAAGGUCCCAAAGUCAUGGUUAAGUGGGAAACGAUGUGGGAAGGCCCAGACAGCCAGGAUGUUGGCUUAGAAGCAGCCAUCAUUUAAAGAAAGCGUAAUAGCUCACUGGUCGAGUCGGCCUGCGCGGAAGAUGUAACGGGGCUAAACCAUGCACCGAAGCUGCGGCAGCGACGCUGAUGCGUUGUUGGGUAGGGGAGCGUUCUGUAAGCCUGUGAAGGUGGCCUGUGAGGGUUGCUGGAGGUAUCAGAAGUGCGAAUGCUGACAUAAGUAACGAUAAAGCGGGUGAAAAGCCCGCUCGCCGGAAGACCAAGGGUUCCUGUCCAACGUUAAUCGGGGCAGGGUGAGUCGACCCCUAAGGCGAGGCCGAAAGGCGUAGUCGAUGGGAAACGGGUUAAUAUUCCCGUACUUGGUGUUACUGCGAAGGGGGGACGGAGAAGGCUAUGUUGGCCGGGCGACGGUUGUCCCGGUUUAAGCGUGUAGGCUGGUUUUCCAGGCAAAUCCGGAAAAUCAAGGCUGAGGCGUGAUGACGAGGCACUACGGUGCUGAAGCAACAAAUGCCCUGCUUCCAGGAAAAGCCUCUAAGCAUCAGGUAACAUCAAAUCGUACCCCAAACCGACACAGGUGGUCAGGUAGAGAAUACCAAGGCGCUUGAGAGAACUCGGGUGAAGGAACUAGGCAAAAUGGUGCCGUAACUUCGGGAGAAGGCACGCUGACAUGUAGGUGAAGUGAUUUACUCAUGGAGCUGAAGUCAGUCGAAGAUACCAGCUGGCUGCAACUGUUUAUUAAAAACACAGCACUGUGCAAACACGAAAGUGGACGUAUACGGUGUGACGCCUGCCCGGUGCCGGAAGGUUAAUUGAUGGGGUCAGCGCAAGCGAAGCUCCUGAUCGAAGCCCCGGUAAACGGCGGCCGUAACUAUAACGGUCCUAAGGUAGCGAAAUUCCUUGUCGGGUAAGUUCCGACCUGCACGAAUGGCGUAAUGAUGGCCAGGCUGUCUCCACCCGAGACUCAGUGAAAUUGAACUCGCUGUGAAGAUGCAGUGUACCCGCGGCAAGACGGAAAGACCCCGUGAACCUUUACUAUAGCUUGACACUGAACAUUGAGCCUUGAUGUGUAGGAUAGGUGGGAGGCUUUGAAGUGUGGACGCCAGUCUGCAUGGAGCCGACCUUGAAAUACCACCCUUUAAUGUUUGAUGUUCUAACGUGGACCCGUAAUCCGGGUUGCGGACAGUGUCUGGUGGGUAGUUUGACUGGGGCGGUCUCCUCCUAAAGAGUAACGGAGGAGCACGAAGGUUGGCUAAUCCUGGUCGGACAUCAGGAGGUUAGUGCAAUGGCAUAAGCCAGCUUGACUGCGAGCGUGACGGCGCGAGCAGGUGCGAAAGCAGGUCAUAGUGAUCCGGUGGUUCUGAAUGGAAGGGCCAUCGCUCAACGGAUAAAAGGUACUCCGGGGAUAACAGGCUGAUACCGCCCAAGAGUUCAUAUCGACGGCGGUGUUUGGCACCUCGAUGUCGGCUCAUCACAUCCUGGGGCUGAAGUAGGUCCCAAGGGUAUGGCUGUUCGCCAUUUAAAGUGGUACGCGAGCUGGGUUUAGAACGUCGUGAGACAGUUCGGUCCCUAUCUGCCGUGGGCGCUGGAGAACUGAGGGGGGCUGCUCCUAGUACGAGAGGACCGGAGUGGACGCAUCACUGGUGUUCGGGUUGUCAUGCCAAUGGCACUGCCCGGUAGCUAAAUGCGGAAGAGAUAAGUGCUGAAAGCAUCUAAGCACGAAACUUGCCCCGA